This 429-nucleotide ribosomal RNA is filed under the name Bacteroidota bacterium. Its description in RNAcentral is "Bacteroidetes bacterium partial 16S ribosomal RNA". It matches the Rfam family "Bacterial small subunit ribosomal RNA", at positions 355 to 776 of the family's 1533-position model. Lineage: Bacteria; Pseudomonadati; Bacteroidota. The record is from RNAcentral.
UAGGGAAUCUUCGGCAAUGGGGGGAACCCUGACCGAGCAACGCCGCGUGAGUGAAGAAGGUUUUCGGAUCGUAAAGCUCUGUUGUUAAGGAAGAACGAGUGUGAGAAUGGAAAGUUCAUGCUGUGACGGUACUUAACCAGAAAGGGACGGCUAACUACGUGCCAGCAGCCGCGGUAAUACGUAGGUCACGAGCGUUGUCCGGAUUUAUUGGGCGUAAAGCGAGCGCAGGCGGUUAGAAAAGUCUGAAGUGAAAGGCAGUGGCUCAACCAUUGUAGGCUUUGGAAACUGUUUAACUUGAGUGCAGAAGGGGAGAGUGGAAUUCCAUGUGUAGUGGUGAAAUGCGUAGAUAUAUGGAGGAACACCGGUGGCGAAAGCGGCUCUCUGGUCUGUAACUGACGCUGAGGCUCGAAAGCGUGGGGAGCGAACAGG